Long non-coding RNA from Salvelinus sp. IW2-2015, 671 nucleotides. RefSeq lists it as uncharacterized. Lineage: Eukaryota; Metazoa; Chordata; Actinopteri; Salmoniformes; Salmonidae. The record is from RefSeq and is a predicted model, not a curated record.
AGCGACUCAGAUACAGAGAGGUUUUAUAUAGGAGGUAGAUGUAGAGAAAGGAAGGGAGGAUGGGUGGAAUUUGCAUAAGGUGUCUACUGUGAUGUUGAACUCAUCCAGUCUGGUCCAGUGGUUAUCAAACCAGGAGWGUCUCAGCAUCUCCUGAAAAUUCUCUGGGUUUUCUAUAUAUUCUCAAUGUCCUCACMGGAUACGACAAGCUGAAAGCAAAGCUUUGGAGCAUGUUGAUCUUACAUGUAUUAGUAGUACUUCCACUGUAGAUUCACUAAAGAUCAAGAUCACUUCUAGAUAUGACAGCUCCAGCAGGUAUAAAAGGACUGGGAAUAUCAUUGCAAAAAGGGGGGAAAUGGAGAUACUCACAGGAGGCAACUGCCAGAAGCAGCAGAGAUGCAGGGAACAUGGMUUGUGUUGAAGCUGAACUGAUGUGAGCUGCUGAGGGAGAGGGAGAGAGAGAGUUAGAUCACAUUUGCAUAAUCAAGAUAAUCAGGUAUAAAGGACUGGGAAGAUCAGUUCAAAUUGGGGGGGAAAUUCUGUGGUAAUGUGUCAGAUUCUAUCACUACACUUAUGGGAGAUGAAACUCUAGGAUGGUUAACCAUUGUUUUCUUAUUAUUGAUAAUCCUACUGUAUACUAUAUGUAUCAAGUUAUUUUUGUGACAACUGUACAG